This 520-nucleotide ribosomal RNA is filed under the name uncultured Glomus. RNAcentral's name for it is "SSU rRNA". It matches the Rfam family "Eukaryotic small subunit ribosomal RNA", at positions 569 to 1088 of the family's 1831-position model. Lineage: Eukaryota; Fungi; Glomeromycota; Glomeromycetes; Glomerales; Glomeraceae. The record is from RNAcentral.
AGCAGCCGCGGUAAUUCCAGCUCCAAUAGCGUAUAUUAAAGUUGUUGCAGUUAAAAAGCUCGUAGUUGAAUUUCGGGGUCAGUAGGUUGGUCAUGCCUCCGGUAUGUACUGGUCUCACUGAUUCCUCCUUCCUGAUGAGCCGUAAUGCCAUUAAUUUGGUGUUGCGGGGAAUCUGGACUGUUACUUUGAAAAAAAUUAGAGUGUUUAAAGCAAGCUAACGCUUGAAUACAUUAGCAUGGAAUAAUGGAGUAGGACGUUCGAUCCUAUUUUGUUGGUUUCUAGGAUUGACGUAAUGAUUAAUAGGGAUAGUUGGGGGCAUUAGUAUUCAAUUGUCAGAGGUGAAAUUCUUGGAUUUAUUGAAGACUAACUACUGCGAAAGCAUUUGCCAAGGAUGUUUUCAUUAAUCAAGAACGAAAGUUAGGGGAUCGAAGACGAUCAGAUACCGUCGUAGUCUUAACCAUAAACUAUGCCGACUAGGGAUCGGAUGAUGUUAAUUUUUUAAUGUACUCAAUUCGGACUA